AGAGCGAACGCUGGCGGCAGGCCUAAUACAUGCAAGUCGAACGGAUCCUUCGGGAUUAGUGGCGGACGGGUGAGUAACACGUGGGAACGUGCCCUUUGGUUCGGAACAACUCAGGGAAACUUGAGCUAAUACCGAAUGAGCCCCCAUCCUUAAACAAGAUGGGUGGGAAAGAUUUAUCGCCAUUGGAGCGGCCCGCGUCUGAUUAGCUAGUUGGUGGGGUAAAGGCCCACCAAGGCGACGAUCAGUAGCUGGUCUGAGAGGAUGAUCAGCCACACUGGGACUGAGACACGGCCCAGACUCCUACGGGAGGCAGCAGUAGGGAAUCUUGCGCAAUGGGCGAAAGCCUGACGCAGCCAUGCCGCGUGAAUGAUGAAGGUCUUAGGAUUGUAAAAUUCUUUCAGCGGGGACGAUAAUGACGGUACCGCAGAAGAAGCCCGGCUAACUUCGCGCCAGCAGCCGC
This 460-nucleotide ribosomal RNA is filed under the name uncultured bacterium. RNAcentral's name for it is "SSU rRNA". It matches the Rfam family "Bacterial small subunit ribosomal RNA", at positions 26 to 518 of the family's 1533-position model. The record is from RNAcentral.